GUAGAGUCAUUUCCUCAUAGACGUCUAUGGGAGCAGAGGAGUCGCCCCCUGCUGGUCACUACAGAGAAGUAGAGUCAUUUCCUCAUAGACGUCUAUGAGAGCAGAGGAGUCGCCCCCUGCUGGUCACUACAGAGAAGUAGAGUCAUUUCCUCAUAGACGUCUAUGGGAGCAGAGGAGUCGCUCCCUGCUGGUCACUACAGAGAAGUAGAGUCAUUUCCUCAUAGACGUCUAUGGGAGCAGAGGAGUCGCCCCCUGCUGGUCACUACAGAGAAGUAGAGUCAUUUCCUCAUAGACGUCUAUGGGAGCAGAAGGAGUCGCCCCUGCUGGUCACUACACAGAACGCAGCUUUAAUGCAUGAAAGGCCCUGCUACACUUAAUUAAUGAUAUGAUAGGGGACCCCAAUUGACCCCUUUUGUAAAAACAUGCCAAACAAUCCAUGAAAGAACACUCAUGCCGCGCUGCAUCACCUCAUCCACGAUUAUUCUGUUGUUAAUGUUCUGAUGAUGACAGAAAAUUACAAAACUUUUAAAGUAAAAGAUUGGAUUCAUUCUUCUGGCAAUCCUCAAACUUAAUACAAAAAUCACUAAAUAUUCUCUGGUUUCAUCUUCUCUGCUGCUUCCACCUCUUCGUUAUAUUAAAUUAAAUAUCUUUGGCUUUUCCGACAUCGCUGACAUUCACAGCUUCUGAGAAACAACGAUGACGAAUAAUAGUUUUUUGCGUCCGUGGUAUUUUGUAAGCUGUGCGAUGUGAUUUUCCUGACUUGGGUUCAUUCUGCAGCCUUCAGAUGGUCAGAUGAAAGUAGGUUGUGGUUUUGGUCGACUGAGCCGGGAAGCAGUGACUCUGCAGGUUGUUUUUGAUUUGACGCGGCUCCAGAGAGUCCUGAGCUGUGACGUUAGUUAAAGUGCGAUUACCUGUUACGCGUGGAAACAGUAAACGUUACACACAAGCGGCACAGACACACAUCUAAACAACUGGAAUAACACACGUAUUGCAUCAAUAACUAUAAGAAUAUACGGUAAAAAUGAAAUGAUGUAAUACGUAUUGUUACUCCUCGUCGACCCGGUCAGGAGACGAACGCUCACGUGACUGAAGGAAGAUUGUCGACGCAGAGACGAGCAGAAAUAUGUGACUGACAACCAGAGUUUGACGUGCAGUGAAAUUCCAUAAACGCUUCGAUCGAGAUAAAUGAUGACUGAUCAAAGUAAAUGACCACGCCGCGAGGCUUCGGAGGGCUAACAUGCUAACAUGCUAACGGCUGGCCACGAAAGAAUCUGUUAUUCACUGCACGUAAACGUAAAAGUUUAACAAGGUAGCAUGUUAGCAUGCUAAUGUUUGCUAAAUAGCACGAACGUUAUUAAAAAAUACACGAUUACAUAAAUGAUGCAUUUUAAGUUGCAUUAAAACUCUACAUUCAGAGGUUCAGUAUAUUUAAAGAGAAUAUAUUUUAAUUGUCGGCUUAUUCAGAUUUUGCUUUCUAACACAGACAACAACAAAAACAAUGCUAGCUACACAUUUCUGGUUGGAUGAGGUGGAAGCAAACAAGCUGCAGCAAUUACAUCACUCUUCUCCUUUAGAGAUAAAAAUAGACCUUGAGCUGCAGUUGGUCCAACAUUCCAGAGCCAGAAUUGAAAGUCAAACAUUGAAAUGUGUUUUCCCUACUUGCCUCACAGGUACUGAGACGUGACGUUACUGUGAGGAUGAUUUAAAGCACCUGUAACAGCCCACAGGUGAGACGGACAAUCCCAGAGAGUGUCAUUUGAUGUGGCGGAGUAUAAACGGUUUCCGGCCUGCAGGUGAAUACGAAGAUAAUCAUCUCGACAGGUUGAAGCCAUUCAUGUACACACAUUGUUACACACAUUGUUACACACAUUGUUACACACAUUGUUACACGCGUUGUUACAAACAGGGAUCAGCUGUUGCCUCACUGAUCAAAACGUCCCAGCAGACGGAAGCUUUUGAACCAGGAAGUAACUGCAGGCGUAAAUAACACGGAUUCUCUGAGGGCCUCAGGUGUUUGUGCAGCUCUACAGGUGCCUCCUGUUUCCUGCUGCUGUCUGCGCAGCACAAAGAACUCGACUAAACGUGGAUCCUGAUCACACGCACGCACACGGUGGGAAGUUUGCUGUACUCGCUGCACUUCCUGGAGUCACCUGCCCGGGGAAAUCCCCAGUGAUGAUGUCACACAGGUAGGACCGCCUCCCUCCAGCAGGGCUCGUGGAAAUCCACACACAGGGUUUGGUCCUCUUCCUGCUCUGCGCCGGACUUUUCUUUGACUUUCCUCAAAUUGUUUUUUCAGUUGUCUUUUGUUCAAAGUCUCCUUCCUCUUCUCUGCUUCCUCCUCUCUGGAGCUCGUUGGAUAGAAAACUUUUAAAAUAGAAAAUGUUAUUUUACUUUAAUUUUUAUGUGGAAAAUAAUUUGUUUUCAGGCGAACUGUUCCUUUAAGUCCACAGGAACGGAGCGGGGAACAUUCAGGUAGAACGUCUGCUUUUGGGUUGGUGGCUUGAGAGCAAACAAAUAAACCCGAUGGAAAACUUGUAAUUUUAAGGUAAAUCUUGUUAGUUUUAUAUUACAGUAAUGUGUAUUUUUACAUUCAGACUGACUCUGGAUCCCAAUUUAGCAAACUUUUUUCAUUACAUCAAACAUAAUGUCUUUUAUAAAAGUAGAAUCAAGAAUGAUACGUUAUAAAUCGGUUAUAAAAAAGGAGCAACAUUGCCGACCGUCGUCCUUCUCGAGCAAGACACCUACACUGUAAAAUAAAAAAACCGGCUGCCAAACAAAGACUGUAAAAUUAAGAUAAAAUAAUUUAAUUCAAACACCUUUAAUAAAGGGAAUUAUGUAUAACAUGUACACAAUUUCACAGCCUACACAUACAACUAAAUACGUACAUUUAUUUUAUAUUCAUAUUAGUCAUCUUUUCCUAUAAUUGCUAGUUGUGAUGGAGGCAUGUUGGUGACGUGAGUCUGCAGCAGCUACAGAGAAGCAUCUUAGAUGCCUUCAUGUGUCGUUACAGUCAUGCAGACGACAACCAACAAGGUUCAAAGUAAAACUUUAGUAUCAACGAUGGGGAUGAAAUGCAGGUGAGGAGGUCAUGUGACCUAAUGAGGGGCGGGGCGGACAGGUGGGUAGAGGUGAAUGAAUGAAAAUCAAACAGUCCACUUUAGACCCCAAAGAGACUUGUGUUAAUCUAAAUCAGCAUCAGCAUCACUUCCUGUUCUUCUCACAUGUUUGUUCUGCUUCCUGAAAUAAUUUAAUUUCUUUGCAGGUGAGAAAAUGUUUCUGAGGAGAAACCGACUAAUAUGGAGACGCGACCUUACAUGACUGAGAACAUCAACGCUAAAGUCCUUCGUUCACCAAACGGGUAACGGGUGUUACUCCAAACACACACACACACACACACUCACACACACACUCUCACACACACUCUCACACACACACACUCACAAUGAGCUAAGGCAAAUGCCACAAUAGUGAAAGUAGGUAAGUAGGUCUCAUAUUCUUGAGGUUGCUGCAGGUUUCUGCACCAGUUUAAUAUAAAGUGCACAUGAGUGUGUGUGUGUGUGUGUGUGUGUGUGUGUGUGUGUGUGUAUGAGUGUGUGUGUGUGUGUGUGUGUGUGUAUGAGUGUGUGUGUGUGUGUGUGUUCAAUCCGAUAAAACUGAUCUUAUACAGAUAAUAGGAAUCAUCAUCUAUGUCAUAUUUCUUUCUUUACCAACACACAAUUCCUCUAUAACACUUUAGUUUGAAUGUAAUUGAAAUAUAAUUUGAUUUAAUUUAUGAAUACAUAUAAUCUAUACAUUUCAAUGAAAUCAGGAGAAUUCCACUGUGAUUGUUUGAUCAAUAAAUCUCAUUGGGAUUGAUUUGUUCUCCACCUAAAUAGUUUUUGGCUGUUUUGUAAAAUAACUAAAUACAUUUAUUCAAGUACACAACCUUUUACUGCUCCAUGUGUAUUUAUUGACUUUAAGAUCAAGAGCUCUUAAAUGAAACAUUUUGCAUAAAAUGUACCUCAGAUACUUUUGGUAUAUAUGUAGAUAGAGUAUAUAUAAAUAUAUGUGUAUAUAUAUAUAUAUAUAUAUGUAUAUAUAUAUACUGAGAU
Long non-coding RNA from Gasterosteus aculeatus aculeatus (three-spined stickleback), 4091 nucleotides. Lineage: Eukaryota; Metazoa; Chordata; Actinopteri; Perciformes; Gasterosteidae. The record is from Ensembl.